RNAcentral lists this transfer RNA (73 nucleotides) under Fidelibacterota bacterium. Its description in RNAcentral is "Candidatus Marinimicrobia bacterium tRNA-Glu". It matches the Rfam family "tRNA". Rfam says of the family: Transfer RNA (tRNA) molecules are approximately 80 nucleotides in length. Their secondary structure includes four short double-helical elements and three loops (D, anti-codon, and T loops). Lineage: Bacteria; Pseudomonadati; Fidelibacterota. The record is from RNAcentral.
GCCCCGGUAGUGUAGUGGUCAAUCAUCCCAGCCUUUCGAGCUGGGGACUCGGGUUCAAAUCCCGACCGGGGCA